CUCGAUCCAACUCCAGUCCUUUGCCACCCAUCUCCGCCACAACCUUCCGAAUCGGUCGCCACGAAGAAAUGGCAAAGCGCCGCCGGUUCGCGCUGCAGUACAUCAGCGACGGCGACGACGAGGACGAGGACGACAAUGCUGCACCCGAGGCGCCCAAACCCACAGUCCCCGACUCCUCGCGCCACAAGAAGCAGCAGCGCCGCUACCGCGACGAUGAUGACGCCGAGGCGGACCUGGAGCUCGCGGAGGAGGGAGACGAUGAGAUGAGGAACAACGAGGAGGAGGAGACGCAGGCCCGCCGCCGCUGGGGCCGCAAGCCCGCGCGCUCUGCUGAGAACAGCGACGGGGAGCUGGGCCACAAGGCGGAAGCGGAUGGGGAGGGGGACGACGGAAAUGGUUCGGAUGCGGUGCCCUUGGGCAACCCCGUGGAGGUUCCUGGCGAGGGGAAGCACUAUACCUCCUUCGAAUACGAGGGCAAUAUCUACAAGCUCGAGGAUUCGGCGAUGUUCUCGCCUGAUCAGGAGAAAGACAAGCCCUAUGUCGGCAUCAUCAAGGAUAUAAAUGAAAUUGAUGGGAGCUUAUCCGUAAGUGCUCAGUGGUUUUAUAGACCAGAAGAAGCCGAGAAAGAGGGUCGUGACCCAAGGGAGUUAUUUUAUAGUUUUCAUAUUGAUGAGGUGCCAGCAGAGUCAGUUAUGCACAUGUGUGUGGUCCAUUUCAUUCCUGAGCACAAGCAGGUGCCAAGUAAAAAGGAACACCCUGGAUUCAUUGUCCAACAGGUGUAUGACCACAAAGAGGAGAAGAUGUAUAAAAUAACGGAUAAGGACUACGAGGAUGACAAGCAGCAUCAGAUUGAUCUCCUUAUUAUGAAAACAAUGGACCGUAUUGGGAAGCUUCCGGAUCGUGAUCCUGAAGAUAUACCUGGCGACAACACUGAUAACUUAUCAUGGCGAAGCUUGCGGAAGAGACCUCUGAAGCCUAAAGAUGUUCCAAGAGAUGCUUCUACAGGCACAUCUGAGCAAUUCAGAAAAGAAGAUACACCCGUGAAUGAUAAUCUGAAAUAUUUUAGUAUCCUUGUCAGACAUGAAGUGAUUACUGGUAACCAGUAUCGUGAUUGGUGGCUUGAUAAAUUUGUAGACACUAUUCUGGCACUCCCUCAUUCAAGAGAUGAUAAUGAAAAUUCUUAUGCACCUAAUGAGGUUGUUCCGAUAGUAGCCUCCUUAGAAAGAUCAACAUUUGAGGCUCUUCAUGCAGACUACCAUAAGUAUAACCAGAAAAUGAGAACAUUAUUGUUCAAUAUCAAGAAAAGCUCUGUACUGUGCAAGCGACUAAUGGACAAGGAGCUUGAUCCUCCGGUUCUGUUAACAAUGACCCCUGAUGAACUAAAGGCUGGGUUGACACCAGCAGAGAUAGCGUCUGAAUCAGAAGAAUCAAGGCAGUUGCAGAUGACUGAGGCCCGGUGUAGAAGAUGCACAGAAAAGAAAGUAGGCAUACUUGAUAUUAUUCAUGCCAGCCGUGGAGAUCGCUAUCAGACAAAUUGAUGCGCAACUCGUGCCACAACCAUCGCAGUUGAGGCUUGAGGUGCAUCGCAAAAAAAAGGGCAGCCCGGUGCAUGUAGCUCCCGCUUGCGCAGGGACCGGGGAAGGGUAUGACCACUUUGGAUCUAUUGUCGAAUGUAUUUCCUGCGGAUUCACAUCCUUCGCGUCCAGAGAUGACAUCUUAAGAAAUGUCUAGCGAGAUCAGGUGAUCAGCCAGACAACAGGCCUGAUAUUGAUGCUCACGAGGAGAGCACAGCGGCUUACAUGGAGAAGCAGAUCAUAGUCUAACAAGCGAAGCGGGAUGAACCCUCCCCUACGCCUGCAACUAAUGAUGUGUAGUGAUAUGUAGAAUGACUAUUAAAAAAAAAAAGGAUAUGUAGGAUGACGGGUAGAUAUCUGGUGAUACGGUCCUAGAGAUGCUCCCCUGACCCGAGGCCAUGUGAGCCGUUUGAUCUGGACUGAAGGCACAGGAUUGAGCUGGCUCACCUGAUGUUGCCAUGCAAAACUAAGUGCAUAUCCAUUUUUCAA
This is an RNA transcript of Hordeum vulgare subsp. vulgare (domesticated barley), 2063 nucleotides long. RefSeq lists it as uncharacterized. The transcript is spliced from 10 exons. NCBI's taxonomy places the organism in Eukaryota, Viridiplantae, Streptophyta, Magnoliopsida, Poales, Poaceae. The record is from RefSeq and is a predicted model, not a curated record.